CGUAUACAUCUAAACCAAAGGAUUCCCGACCUCGUUUGAUCUCAGCAGCUAAGCAGUGUUGGGCCUGGUUAGUCGUGAGACGGGAGACCACAGAUAAUAACAAGUGUCGUAAUGG
This 115-nucleotide ribosomal RNA is filed under the name Periophthalmus magnuspinnatus. Lineage: Eukaryota; Metazoa; Chordata; Actinopteri; Gobiiformes; Gobiidae. The record is from RNAcentral.